UACGUAGGGACCGAGCGUUGUCCGGAAUCAUUGGGCGUAAAGAGCGUGUAGGCGGCCUGUUAAGUCUUGCGUGAAAUCUCGGGGCUCAACCCCGAGCGGUCGUGAGAAACUGGCAGGCUAGAGUGCGGGAGAGGAGAGUGGAAUUCCUGGUGUAGCGGUGAAAUGCGCAGAUAUCAGGAAGAAGGGCCGUGGCGAAGGCGGCUCUCUGGAACGCAACUGACGGUGAGACGCGAAAGCGUGGGGAGCGAACAGG
This 253-nucleotide ribosomal RNA is filed under the name uncultured bacterium. Its description in RNAcentral is "partial 16S ribosomal RNA". It matches the Rfam family "Bacterial small subunit ribosomal RNA", at positions 524 to 776 of the family's 1533-position model. The record is from RNAcentral.